GCCUACGCCUAUGCCCUGAAUGGUUUUGCCUAGGUUUUCUUCUAGGGUUUUUAUGGUGUUAGAUCUUACAUUGAAAUCUUUAAUCCAGCUUGAGUUAAUGUUUGUUUACGGUG
Long non-coding RNA from Sapajus apella (tufted capuchin), 113 nucleotides. RefSeq lists it as uncharacterized. Lineage: Eukaryota; Metazoa; Chordata; Mammalia; Primates; Cebidae. The record is from RefSeq and is a predicted model, not a curated record. The transcript is spliced from 2 exons.